AGCGAACGUUAGCGGCGGGCCUAACACAUGCAAGUCGAACGCGAAAGGUCUUCGGACUGAGUAGAGUGGCGCACGGGUGAGUAACACGUAGGUAAUCUACCCUUUGGCGGGGGAUAACGUUCCGAAAGGAGCGCUAAUACCGCAUAAGACCACGGAGUCUCCGGACGCUGUGGGAAAAGGUGGCCUCUUCUUGAAAGCUAUCACCGAAGGAUGAGCCUGCGUCCCAUCAGCUAGUUGGUAAGGUAAUGGCUUACCAAGGCGAAGACGGGUAGCUGGUUUGAGAGAAUGAUCAGCCACACUGGCACUGGAACACGGGCCAGACUCCUACGGGAGGCAGCAGUGAGGAAUAUUGGGCAAUGGGCGAAAGCCUGACCCAGCCACGCCGCGUGAGUGAUGAAGGCCCUCGGGUCGUAAAGCUCUGUGGAGAGGGACGAAAGCCCUGGUUUCAAAUAGGCUCCAGGCUUGACGGUACCUCUUUAGCAAGCACCGGCUAACUCUGUGCCA
RNAcentral lists this ribosomal RNA (504 nucleotides) under uncultured bacterium. RNAcentral's name for it is "bacterial SSU rRNA". It matches the Rfam family "Bacterial small subunit ribosomal RNA", at positions 29 to 510 of the family's 1533-position model. The record is from RNAcentral.